RNAcentral lists this long non-coding RNA (1306 nucleotides) under Mus musculus (house mouse). RNAcentral's name for it is "long non-coding RNA chr5:33036826-33038132". The record is from RNAcentral. Lineage: Eukaryota; Metazoa; Chordata; Mammalia; Rodentia; Muridae.
UCUGUUCCAUAUUCCCCAAGGACUGACUCUUAAUGUGGAAGGAAAAUUCCUAAGGGAAGCACCUAAGGAUAUUGUGGAAUUUUGUCCAGCUACAGUUUAGAAACAGGGAACAGAAUCUUGCUUUUUUUUUUUUAGUUGAACACUGAUUCUUCUCUCAUACAAUACAUUCCAACCAGAGUUCCCCCUCCUUCCAUUCCUCCCAGCUCCACCCCCCCCCCCCCCCACACACACAGCUUCCCUCUCCCUGGGAUCCACUCCCCCUCUGUCUCCCAUCAACAAAGGCCUCCAAGAGACAACAGGCAAACAGGACAAGGCAAAGACAGUAAGACAAGGCAGACUGCAGUAAGACAAGACAAGGCAGACUACAGUAAGACAAGACAAGGCAGACUACAGUAAGACAGGGCAGACUACAGUAAGACAGGACAGACUACAGUAAGACAAGGCAGACUACAGUAAGACAAGACAAGGCAGACUACAGUAAGACAAGACAAGGCAGACUACAGUAAGACAAGGCAGACUACAGUAAGACAGGGCAGACUACAGUACGACAGGGCAGACUACAGUAAGACAGGACAGACUACAGCAAGACAAGGCAGACUACAGUAAGACAAGGCAAACUACAAACUACAGUUAGACAAGGCAGACUACAGUAAGAAGGCAGACUACAGUAAGACAAGGCAAACUACAAACUAUAGUAAGACAAGGCAGACUACAGUUAGACAAGACAGACUACAGUAAGACAAGGCAGACUAUAGUAAGACAAGGCAGAAGCCCUCACAAUGAGUCUGGACAAGGCAGCCCAGUAGGAGGAAAAGAGUACUAAGAGCAGGCAAAAGAGUCAGAGACACUCCUGCUACCACAGUUAGGAGUCCCACAAAACCACCAAGCUAACAGCCACAAGGUAUACCCAGAGGACCUGGUGCAGUGGCCCCACAGGGCCCAUGCUUGCCACGUCAAUCUCUCUGAGCCCAUAUGCUCCUUGCUUAGUUGAGAAUCCUGCUUUUUGAGCCAGUGAUCCGGGGGGCUGCUGUGCUUAGCUGUGUGUGAGCAGUCCAGAGGAGCUGGUGUGGGUACCAGGAGUGGGUAGAUGAGAUGUAUCCUAGGGACCAGGACCUUCUGCUGGUUGGCUUUUGGUACCCGUGUUGGGAAGAGGGUUCUGAUGAGCUCUUGGAAAGAUGGAGGGAAUGGGCAAGUUUCAGGUUUAUGCUGGGACAUUUCCUUUUUUUUUUUAAUUUUUUUUAUUAGGUAUUUUCCUCGUUUACAUUUUCAAUGCUAUCCCAAAGGUCCCCCAUAUCCACCCCCCCAA